CAGUAGCCACGGUAAUACAGAGGGUGCGAGCGUUAAUCGGAUUUACUGGGCGUAAAGCGUGCGUAGGCGGCUUUUUAAGUCGGAUGUGAAAUCCCUGAGCUUAACUUAGGAAUUGCAUUCGAUACUGGGAAGCUAGAGUAUGGGAGAGGAUGGUAGAAUUCCAGGUGUAGCGGUGAAAUGCGUAGAGAUCUGGAGGAAUACCGAUGGCGAAGGCAGCCAUCUGGCCUAAUACUGACGCUGAGGUACGAAAGCAUGGGGAGCAAACAGGAUUAGAGACCCGAGUAGUCCCUGUCUCUUAUAC
RNAcentral lists this ribosomal RNA (301 nucleotides) under uncultured bacterium. RNAcentral's name for it is "partial 16S ribosomal RNA". It matches the Rfam family "Bacterial small subunit ribosomal RNA", at positions 509 to 807 of the family's 1533-position model. The record is from RNAcentral.